This 484-nucleotide ribosomal RNA is filed under the name uncultured bacterium. Its description in RNAcentral is "partial 16S ribosomal RNA". It matches the Rfam family "Bacterial small subunit ribosomal RNA", at positions 28 to 507 of the family's 1533-position model. The record is from RNAcentral.
AUUGAACGCUGGCGGCAUGCUUUACACAUGCAAGUCGAACGGCAGCGCGGGCUUCGGCCUGGCGGCGAGUGGCGAACGGGUGAGUAAUACAUCGGAACGUGCCCCGUAGUGGUGGGUAGACCGGCGAAAGCCGGGUUAAUACCGCAUAAGACCUGAGGGUGAAAGCGGGGGAGCGAAAGGCCUCGCGCUAUUGGAGCGGCCGACGUCGGAUUAGCUAGUUGGUGGGGUGAAGGCUUACCAAGGGGGGGAUCCGGAGCUCGUCUGAGAGGACGAGCGGCCGCACUAGGACUGGGACGCGGCCCAUGCUACUGCGGGACGCAGCAGUGUCGUAUUUUGGACAAUGGGGGCGACUCUGAUCCAGUCGUCCCAAGCGCGAUAAAGCGGCCUUCCGGUUGUGAACCCGUUUUGCUGGGGAUAAACCCCUUUCGGCUAAUACCCCGCGGGGGUGACGGUACCGGAAGAAUAAGCACCGGCUAACUACGUG